GACGAACGCUGGCGGCGUGCUUAACACAUGCAAGUCGAACGGAAAGGCCUGCUUUCCCUUGUGGAUUGCGGGUACGAGAGUGUCGAACGGGUGAGUAACACGUGCGUGAUCUUCUGCCAACUCGGCUAUAAGCUUGGGAAACUAGCUGUAAUGCCCGCCAGGACUGUGGGGGGGUGCGGGUGGUGGCAACGGAUGGUUCGGCGGUUGGGGAUGAGCUCGCGGCGUGUGGGCUUGUUGGUGGGGUAAUGUUCGACCAAGGCGGGGACGGGGAGGCGGCCUGGGCGUGUGACCGGCCACACUGGGACUGAUACACCGCCCAGACUCAUACGGGAGGCAGGAGUGGGGAAUAGUGCACAAUGGGCGGAACGCUGAGGCAGCAACGCCGGGUGCGGGAUGAUGGCCUUCGGGUGGUAGCGCGCUUUCGCCUGUGAUGAAGCGUGAGUGACGGUAAUGGGUAAAGAAGCACCGGCUAACUACGUG
This 480-nucleotide ribosomal RNA is filed under the name uncultured bacterium. Its description in RNAcentral is "partial 16S ribosomal RNA". It matches the Rfam family "Bacterial small subunit ribosomal RNA", at positions 28 to 507 of the family's 1533-position model. The record is from RNAcentral.